Molecule: ribosomal RNA, 207 nt
Filed under: uncultured bacterium
Lineage: Bacteria
Description: partial 16S ribosomal RNA
Rfam family: Bacterial small subunit ribosomal RNA
Source: RNAcentral
CGCGUAGGCGGCUUGGCAAGUGAGGCGUGAAAGUCCUGGGCUCAACCUGGGGACGGCGCUUCAGACUGUUUGGCUUGAGUCCGGAAGAGGGUGGUGGAAUUCCGAGUGUAGAGGUGAAAUUCGUAGAUAUUCGGAGGAACACCGGUGGCGAAGGCGGCCACCUGGUCCGGAACUGACGCUGAAGCGCGAAAGCGUGGGGAGCAAACA